RNAcentral lists this transfer RNA (71 nucleotides) under Camelus bactrianus (Bactrian camel). It matches the Rfam family "tRNA". From Rfam's summary of the family: Transfer RNA (tRNA) molecules are approximately 80 nucleotides in length. The record is from Rfam by way of RNAcentral. Lineage: Eukaryota; Metazoa; Chordata; Mammalia; Artiodactyla; Camelidae. RNAcentral also lists the same sequence under 2 other names.
GAGGAUGUAGCUCAGUGGCAGAGCAUGUGCUUAGCAUGCACGAGGUUCUGGGUUCAAUCCCAGUACCGCCA